Transfer RNA from Trametes versicolor FP-101664 SS1, 92 nucleotides. It matches the Rfam family "tRNA". From Rfam's summary of the family: Transfer RNA (tRNA) molecules are approximately 80 nucleotides in length. Their secondary structure includes four short double-helical elements and three loops (D, anti-codon, and T loops). NCBI's taxonomy places the organism in Eukaryota, Fungi, Basidiomycota, Agaricomycetes, Polyporales, Polyporaceae. The record is from Rfam.
GGCCGGCUGGCCUAAUGGUUAAGGCGUCAGUUUCCGGUGCUUUCUUAGCCACUAGUAGCUGAAGAUUCUCGGUUCGAAUCCGAGGUUGGUCG